RNAcentral lists this ribosomal RNA (266 nucleotides) under uncultured bacterium. RNAcentral's name for it is "partial 16S ribosomal RNA". It matches the Rfam family "Bacterial small subunit ribosomal RNA", at positions 334 to 617 of the family's 1533-position model. The record is from RNAcentral.
UGCUCCUACGGGGGGCAGCAGUGGGGAAUAUUGGGCAAUGGGCGCAAGCCUGACCCAGCAACGCCGCGUGGGUGAAGAAGCGCCUCGGCGCGUAAAGCCCUGUCAGCAGGGAAGAAAAUGACGGUACCUGAAGAAGAAGCCCCGGCUAACUACGUGCCAGCAGCCGCGGUAAUACGUAGGGGGCAAGCGUUAUCCGGAUUUACUGGGUGUAAAGGGGGCGCAGACGGCGAUGCAAGCCAGGAGUGAAAGCCCGGGGCCCAACCCCG